AUUUUGUCCGUAGAGUUCGCCGCCUUCGACUUCUUCUUUUUCUCUCUUCAUUUCUCCAACCUCUAGCCCCAGCGCCGCUCACCCCUAUUCUUCUCCAUUUUUCUAAAAGAAAACCCUAGCCACUCAAUUUCUCUAACCCUAGCCGUCCCUUAUCCAAUUUAUCUCAACCACGGCCUCCAUUUUAGCAGCUCCACCCCGAUUCCAUCCGCCUCCCUCCCGGCGAAGACUUUGGCAUUAUCAGGUUGGUUUUAAUUGUUGCGUAGCUCAUGUUCAUUGCAGUCUAGAUCCCAACAACCGAAGGAUGAUAUUUCCAUGCUAGGGCUCUAGGAUCGUCAACCUAUGGAUGAUAUUUCGCUCAAACUCGCAGAUCCAUGUUCGAUCCUCCAGUUUCAGAGCAAAACAUUGAUCCAGUUCCGAGAUCCACAAAAAGCAAAGACCAUCAUGAGGAUCACCACACCCAUGAUCAUGUUCAUGAUCCUGGUGUUUCUUCUGUCAGCAUAGUUUGUGAAGGGAACUUAGAUCUUGAAAAGGCUAACAUAUGGCUUGGUACACUGUUGUUUGAAUGAAGUGAGGACAUAUAUCGUAUGAAAGGUCUUCUAUCAGUUCAAGGAAUGAAAGAGAUUUGUCUUCCAGGAUUUUGGUGCUCUGAAAAUGCCCACCAUGAUAUUUUUACACCAAGUGUAUAUGGCAACCCAGGCAUUCCAACUUGCUCAGGGAAAUACUUCAUUUAAGGAAAAGCCUGAAAUAAUGUUGUCGAAGUGCUAUACUGAAGCUAUCAGUUUGAACAUGAUGUGUGCAACUUAGAUUGCAACCAUACAACUGCUUACUUGGAGGUAAUAGUCAUUCUAUUGCAUGCAUAUCUUUAGAAUCUUUAUUUUUAUUUUUAUUUUUUAUUUUUUAUUUUUUAUAACUAUUGAUGAAAGCACUGCAGACCAAAUCAUGUUAUAUAUGCUUAUUGUAAACAGUUCUGUCUGUAAAUUUGAAACCCAAAUUAACAUAAUUUUUCCCCUAUUUGACCAUGCAUUUAUGAAUGUUGGAUUAAAAUUUGUUUAUUUUUGGGAAGAAAUGAGACAGUUGGUUUGAGUUUUAGAAGCCUUUGUUUUUCUGCCUUUUAUGGCAAUGAAAAAAAGGGGGAAAACGUUGGUCUUAAUUGUAAUUUCCAAAUUCUUUACGCUGUUAGUAGUUAAAAUUAAGGGAAUGGCUAUUAAUAUAAUUUUUGGUGUAUUUCAAGCUUCUAAUUCACAAACUGGGUGAAGGUCACAAUAAGUAUUAGUUACUAUGAGAGUGUUGGACUAUCGUCAUUCUGGAACCAGGUUUAAGAGGGCCCUGACAAUGACAUUGAAACGGGUAUACAACCCUCUUCUUUUCGUCUUUUAGUCUUUCGCUUACUCGAGCAUAUGCUGUCAUUUAAAAUUAGUGGUCCGGUUGAUGUACCUGCAAUAUCAGUAGUUCCUAUCUUUUUAAUGGAGUGAUUCCCUUUCUUGCACAUGUAAAAUCUUGAUGUCUGCAAAUGCACAUAUCACAUAACUGUUAACACAAGUCUUGCUUCUUUCAUUUGAUUUUGCAAGGGUAAGCUCUUAAUCUUUCCUCUAUCAUUUUGUAGUUCAUCCUAUUGUUGUAAUUUAGAGCUAUUUUAAUGCUCUUAAUCUGAAGCCUCCCGAACUUUAUAAUCUUUUUGUAAUUAUCUCAGACUGAAAAUUAGACUACUAAUAAUUAGGAAAUAACAGUCCUGUAACAUCCAAAACAAAGCAUAAUAAGGAAAACCCAUAUUGAGAAUGAAUUAUGUAUUUGAGGCUCUAUUUUGUCGACUUUGCCUAUUACCCUGGAAUCAUAAGCUAGUAGUAUUCCAAUCACAGUUUUUCUUUUUACUUUUGAUGUUGGAACCACAGAACGAAAUAUACGAUUUUGGAAAUCUUAUUUUCGAAAGAUAGCUAACGUAAAAGUGGUGGAUUGCUUAGUAGUUGGACUUCCUUUUUAAUUCAUACCAUACUUUAUCUCUCUAAUUUAGGUAGUUACAAUAAAUAAGAAUCGAUAAAAAUGAUUUUAUUUUAAAAGCUACUUAAAAAGAUAGUAAUUAAUGCUAUAAAAUUUUCCAAAUGCUACUUAUCAUGUGUUCAAUUUCAAUUAAGAUUUUGAGAUAUAUCAAUUAAGUUAUAUAAGUCUGUGGAAUAUGAUGUGUUUUUAAUUGAUUUGUUUUAGAGAUUUCAAGCAAAAUUAUGAGUGAAAUUCAAUUAUCUCAAAAUCUAAAAGAGGAGACGCGAAAUUUGUGAAUGCUUAAAAUACUUUACGAUAUUUCUCAAAUUCUCUCGAUUUUUUCAAAAUCAAAUCCUAAUUAGAAAUACCUAAAGUAUUAUAAACUUUUAUUAAAAUCCUAAUUGAAUAGGCCUAGAGUUUUCAAAAAUACUUAAAAUAGUAAUUGAAAAUCGCUGUAGUAUUAUAAACUUUUCAAAAAUCCUAAUUAAAAUUGUUAGAUUAGAAAGACAACGAAUUUAUUUUGUUUUACAGCAAUAGAGGGGUUAUCAGCACAUGUUUCUUACCUGACCUGCUAUGGGUUUGAAACAGUCAUUCGCAUAACUGUGGUCGAGUCACUCAGUGCAUUUAAUAAUUUUAUUUUCACCAUUAAAAUUACAUUUUAAACGUGUAUUUAAUUUAUAUUUGCAACUUUCACAUGGAGAUGGGACCAGGGAGAGUAGAGCGUGUCGGUCCACGGCUUACAAAGCUCUGUGGGCAGUACUACAUUGGGCUGGUCUUCUUUGCAAAUAGGGAAGGUGCGUCUGCGACAUAUGAUGAGGCAAAAGAAGUUAGAAGGUGCCUAUUUUUGCCACGAAAGGGGAGGGUUUCAAGAAAUUCACUGGAGGAGCUGAGGAGAUAUGGGUGUGUUGGCUUACUAAGUCUAACUUGGUGGCAAUGGUCCCUUAGAUUGAUGAUUGAUGCAGCCUAUUGGAACUGGUAUUUACUUCUCAAUGUUUGAGAAUAUAUAGAGUUAUUGAAAGUAGCUGACUUGGAUAUCUCACAACUAUAGGAUAGAUAUCCAACUCAGCUACUUUCAGUAACUCUCUACAUAUUCUCAAACAUUGAGAAGUAAGUUCCGGUGGGGCUGCCUCAAUCAUCAAUCUAAGGGACCAUUGCCUCCAAGUUGGCCUUAGUAAGCCAACACACCCAUAUCUCCUCAGCUCCUCCAGUGAAUUUCUUGAAACCCUCCCCUUUCGUGGCAAAAAUAGGUAUCUUCUGAACUUCUUUUGCCUCAUCAUAUGUCCCAGACGCACCUUCCCUAUUUGCAAAGAAGACCAGCCUCAUGUAGUACUGCCCACAGAGCUUUGUAAGCCGUGGACCGACACGCUCUACUCUCGUUGAUCCCAUCUCCAUGUGAAAGUUGCAAAUAUAAAUUAAAUACACGUUCAAAAUGUAUUUUUAAUGGUGAAAAUAAAAUUAUUAAACUUACUCGAGCCAAUUUUUAAUGUCGUCCAGUUAGGCAACGCUCUGAUGGCUAUGGAUGAGAAUGAAGUCACUUUGAACCGUAGGGUUGUGCUGGUCCAAACUCGCACUGAGUGACUCGACCACAGUUAUGCGAAUGAGUGUUUCAAACCCAUAGCAGGUCAGGUAAGAAACAUGUGUUAAUAUUUCCAUUAAUUAAUAAAAUACUCAUUGUCAAUCAAAAUUCUAUGAAAUUACUACUUUAAUCAUGUAAUUAAAAUAGAACAUGAAUAAGAAAUAUGGGGUAGAAAUGUAAUUUCACACAAUCAAAUUUUGCUGUUUUUUUUCAAAGUCUCACCUACAUGUAAUCCUAAUAUAUCUCUAAUUAAAAUAAAAACUUCCCACUCCCACAUUCUCUAUCACUCUGUUUUGGCUUUUGGACAGGCAGCGCGGCGGGAUGGAAGUUGAUCUGGGGUUUUGGCUUUUGGGCUGCUGGAGCAAGGGAUAGUAGGUUCAAACUCGGUACUUUGAUUUUGUUUGUCCAAUACUGUCUGUUUAGAUCGCUUCACAUCCUCUUCUCUAUUUUACUUUUUUUCUUUUUUCUGGUGUAUGAGAAUUGGAAUUAUGAAAUUCAUUUUUUUGAUUGUUAAACUAAAUUAGAUUGGGUUGUCUCAGUUAUGAGAUUCAUACUAAUAAUUAGAAUAAUUAUAAUUAUGUGUCGCAGAGACAUGUAUGGGUUGUCGACUAUGACAGAAGGUGAACCAGCCUUUUCUCACUAUGAGGUGUAUGGUUCUGGAAAACAUUUGCUUCCCAAAUAUUAGAGGCGUGCUUGGAACCUUAUCAGACUUUCGAAGAAAGAAUAAAAGUAUGCGAAAUGGCAUUGUUGGAUACGGCAAUUUGUGAUCCUGCACAAAUGAUUAUUGAGAGGUAAUUUUAUUUACAGAUCAUUUCAAUUGCCUUAUAUUUGUAUGAAGUGUCUAAUCAGGUAAUUGUUUGCAGUUUGUUUUCUUGGCUUCAAUCACUUAUUUAAACAACUGACUUAUUUAAACAACUGUGAUCGAGUCGUAUGGUGCAAGCUUUGAUGAUUUGGAACCACGAAUGAGUCAUGUUGAUCUAUAACAUUUUUGGGAGUGUUGUCCCAGACAACGACAUAAAAAAGCGGCUGGAGCGAGUAAUAAUUUUAUUUUGCCAUUAAACAAUCUUUUUUUUUUCUUUUUGUGAGAAGAGCCAUUAAGCAAUCUAUAUUUAAUUAUAUUUGAGGUUUUGGCAGGGGUAUUAAAAGAGUCUUACCAAGCUAUGUGGGGGCAUACUACAUCCGAUUGGUCAUUUUUGCAAGUGAGGAAGGUGUUUGUCAAACUUUAGAUGGAGGAGAAGAUGUCCCAAAAGACUAUUUUUGCAAUGCAGGGGAAAAGGGUCGAAGAAGUUUUUUCGCAGGAGCCAAUGAAAUCUGGAUGUGUUAACCAAGGAAGAAAAACUUGGAUGCAUUGGUCCCAUAGAUCCGUUGACAUUUUAGUAUUAUUCAAUUUCUGAUAGCUGAGUUUCAUGUCCUCUGUGAUGGUAAAAUAACACAGAUUCUCCAAAAUUUCAGACAUGAUACAUUUUGCUGUAAAACAAUUACUGGUUCGAGUUUUUAGUUUUUUCAGUCACGAUAACUCAAAUUUGGAGAACCAGUAAUUAUUUUACAAGAAGGGGUAUCAUGACUGAAAUUUCGGAGAAUCUGUGUCAUUUUACUGUCAAAUAGGUCAUGAGACUCAGCUAUUAGAAAUUAAACGAUACUAAAGUGUCAACGGAUCUGUGGGACCAAUGCAUCCAAGUUUUCCUUCCUUAGGUAACACAUCCAGAUUUCCUUAGCUGCUACAAAAAACUUCUUCAACCCUUUCCCUUGCAAUGCAAAAAUAGGCUUUUGCAUCUCUUGUACAAAUCUUCUCCUCUGUCUAAAGUCUAACGAGCACCUUCCUCACUUGCAAAAAUGACCAAUCGAGUGUAGUAUGCCCCAUGUAGCUUGGUAAGACAUGAACUGACAAACUUCACUUCUGCUCUUUUAAUACCCUACCAAAACCCCAAAUAAUUAAAUACAGAUUGCUUAAUGGUUCUUCUAAAAAAAAAAAGAUUGUUUAAUGGCGAAAUAAAACUAUUACUAACUGCAGCCGCUUUUUUAUGUCGUUGGCUGGGACAACACUCCCAAAAAUGUUAUAUAUCAGCAUGACUCUGCAUCUCUGGCAGUUGUGGUUCCAAUCAUCAAAGCUCACACUAUACAACUCGAUCACAGUUGCUUCAAUAAGUGAUUGAAGCCAAGAAAACAAACUGUAAACAAUUACCUUAUGAGACACUUCAUACAAAUAUAAGGCAAUUGGAAUGAUCUGUAAAUAAAAUUACCUCUCAAGAAUCCUCUGUGAUGGGUCCCAAAUUGCCGCAUCUAUCAAUGCCAUUUUGCAUACUUUUAUUCUUUUUUCGAAAGUCUGAUAAGGUUCCAAGCACGCCUCUAAUAUUUGGGAAGCAAAUGUUUUUCCAGAACCAUACACCUCAUAGUGAGAAACAUAGGAGGCUGGUUCACCUUCUAUCAUAGUCGACAACCCAUACCUGUCUCUGCGACACAUAAUUAUUCUAAUUAUUAGUAUGAAUUUCAUAACUAAGACAACCCAAUCUAAUUUAGUUUAACACAGAGAUCAAAAAAAUGAAUUUCAUAACUAAGACAACCCAAUCUAAAUUAGAUUAGGUUGUCUUAGUUAUGAAAUUCAUACUAAUAAUUAGAAUAAUUAUAACUAUGUGUCAAUCAAACAAAUUAUUAUCUGUGUUAGGCUAAGCCUGUAACUCAAAUUAAUGUGGCACGUUUUCAUCUUAAUUUGUGCCAAAGAAUGACCCAAUGAGUUCAUUAGAUUAUUUUUACUUUUAUUUAUUUAUGCAUAACAUUUUUUCUAAGAGCAAUUCUAGCCCUAAAAAUGCAUUGACAGUCAGCCUAUUUAAUCCAUUCAAAUGAAUAGUAAAGGAUCCAAUAAACAGUAAUUGACCAAAUGCAUUUCCACCUUUAAAAUAUGCGCUGGCACAAUCUGUAGUCAAUUUGUAUUAAAAUAUUAUUAUUAUUUUUUUUAAUAAAAUAAUUUAGUUUUAAUUUCGGAUAGGAUUUUUAACCAAUCUUAUCAUGUCACGUGUCAUUAUCCGAAAGUACUAUUUUGUGGAUAGAUUUCCGAUAAGAUUUUAAAUCAAUUCUGACACGUCACUUGUCACUAUCUAGUUACAAUGAUUUAGUCAAGAUUUCAAUAAGAUUUUCAACUAAUCACGUAGUGCCACGUGGCAUUACCCACAACCUCAUCAUUUUUUUUUGUUUAUAUAAACCUUACAUUCAUACUAAUUCAUACACCAAACUCAAAAUUGAUGAAUAUAUUUUCAUCGUCCGUCAUACUCGUGUUUCAAGCAAACCGAAAAAACUUUUCCUAGUGUAUGGUAAGUGCAUUUGAUUUUUUUAUUUCUUCCUUUACAAACUUUACGUUUGUCUUAUGCAUUCUCAGUUUUAUAUGAAUUUUCAUUUCUCUUUAUAUUUCAAGAGUUUCGAGGCGAGCUUUCAAAUUGUUUCAAGAGUUUAACGACUUGAGUGCAAGUUUAUAUGAUCUUUUGUAUUGCAAGUAUUCGUAUUGUAUCAGUAAGUACUUUUAGGUGUUGUUUAACGGAUGAGACUUAAGUCCUAAGAAAUUUACUUUUACAUACUAAUAAUUGUCAAUAAGACCAAAUAUAUUCAAGGUCGGAAUAUUAAUUUAAGAUGAAUUAAAAUAGUUUUCCCUCAAUGUUUACACUCUAAACAUUGGCAUGCUUGACAAAAUCUAACUAAAGUUAGUAGCUAUUUUAAGUGAAUUUGCUCAACUAGCCGAUGAUAACAAGUUCCACGGGUACCAUGUUGCUGUCCUCGUGCCAUGAAAGUUCUCCUCCAAUCCAAGAGGUAAGUUAGUCGUGAAUCGUGAUAGUGUAAAGAUGAAAUAAAAUAUUUCUCAAAGGUUGCCAAGAACAAGGAUUUAUUUUUAGCUGUAUAACUUUUUCAGAGUCUACAUCUUGUAAAUUGACAUGCUCCACUACAUCAUAAUAACAUGACUUAUUAGUAUGGAGAGAAAUUUUGCUCAACUAUCCGAGAGGUAAGUUUGCUGUGACAGUGCCCCUCUUCGUUUCUGCAAUUUUUAUUAUUUAUUUUGUAAACACAAUUGCUACGAUGCCACUUAUAAUGUCUAUAACAUUUAUUUUAGGAUUCUUGCACUUGUUUUUUAGUUACUUCAGACCACGUAAAACCCUUUUGAAGUGUUUAACGUUGGAAUUUAGGGUACUUAGGCAUUGCCUUGCCAAUAAGUUGAAUGUUUUUUGUGUUUUGAUGCGCAGGAGGGCAUCGCUCAUAACGCAUUGACAUGAAACCUUGUUUGAAAAGAAAACAAAAACUUCAAUACAUGUGAAUUUUAAAGUUACCUUUUGAAAUUCUUGUUGCAAGUAUCACAAGAUACAACGGACAAGUAUCCAACAAAAUUUUGCUGGUUCGAGUUUACUAAAUCUUUGCAGCAUGGUGUGAAUUUUGCUAGUGGAUACAUGGUCGCUGUAUCUCGUAAUACUUACAACAAAGUUUGCAAGAGGUAACUUUAAAAUUCCCAUUGAAGUUUUUGUUUUCUUUACUAACUGAUAUGAUGAAUUUAAAAGUGGACCACAUAGUUUCUAUGUUUUUUUUCCUUUGGGAAACUGCAUAAGGACAUUGGUAAAAAAAAACUUAAAUGUGUGAAAAGCUUGUUAUGAAUAGUUAUGCAAGGGGAAGUGGGGGUUGUAAGCUAUCUUUCGAAAAUAAGAUUUCCAAAAUCGUAUCUUUCGUUUGCAGGUUUUACUUCUGUGGUUCCAACAUCAAAAGUAAAAGGAACAAAUGUGAUUGGAAUCCUCGAAUGUCAUGGAAUACUAUUAGUUUAUGAUUCCAAGGUAACAGGCAAAGUCGAUAAAAAAGAGCCUCAAAUACGUAAUUCUCGAUAUGAUUUUUCCUUACUAUUCUUCUCUUUUUGUUUUGGAUGUUGCAGAACUGUUAUUUCCUACUUAUCACUAGUCUAAUUUUCAGUCUCAGAUAAUUACAAAAAGUUUAUAAAUUUCGGGAGGCUCCAGAUUGCUAUCAUUGGUGCUGUUGAGAACCGCAAAAUCUGCCAGGUGAUAAGCAGGAUCAUCGUGUCUUGAGAAGUGAGUCACUUCCAGGAUCUGAAUUAAUUGAACUUCCCAAGACACGAUAUCCUGCUUAUCACCUGGCAGAUUUUGAGGUUCUCAACUUCACCAAUGAUAGCAAUCUCGACCCUCCCAAACUUUAUAACCUUUUUGUAAUUAUCUGAGAUUGGAAAUUAGAAUAGUGAUAAGUAGGAAAUAACAGUCCUGCAAUAUCCAAAACAAAAAGAUGAGAAUAAUAAGGAAAAACCAUAUCGGGAAUUACGUAUUCGAGGCUCUUUUUUGUCGACUUGGCCUGUUACCCUGGAAUCAUAAGCUAAUAGUAUUCCAUGAUGGAUUCCAAUCACAGUUGUUCCUUUUACUUUCGAUGUUGGAACCACAAAAGAAAAAUCUGCAAACGAAAGAUUCUAUUUUGGAAAUCUUACAACCCCACUACCCUUUGCAUAAUACUAUUCAUAACAAGCUUUUCACACAUUUAGGUUUUUUACCAUGUAUCUCGUGGUACUUACAAUAAGAAUUGCAAGCGCGUUGCCCUUUGAGGUGGUCAGAUCUGAAGGUGCUUCGAGAGGAAGACCUCUUCCGCUGUUGUCUCAACCUAAGCCAACAAAUGGGUUUUACAAGGAUAUUGUUCCACACUGGGGACGUUAAAUUCAUGUAAGUUGGAAAGAUUUGAAUCCCUGACUGUUUGUAUCUUGAUAGCCAUGGAAUUAUCAUCGGAUAUUUCGAGAGGAAGCGUGUUGCCCUUUGCCAUGGCUAUCUUCUCGAAAUCUCUCCUCCGAUCCUCCCUCCGGCAAUGCAAGCACGUUGCCCUUUGCCCCUUUGAGGCAGUCAAGGUGGUCAGAUCAGAUCUAAAGGUGCUUCGUGAGGAAGACCUCUUCCGCUGAUGUCUCAACCUAAGCCAUUAAAUUAUUUGAAUUUUGCUGAUAUAAUAUUGUUGAUUUAGUCAUUGUUGUACUGCUACUUGUGAAAUUUUUUCGUUGUUUGACAUCUUCAAUUACAGAUUUGAUUCUGUAUGAUUUUGCAUUCUGAAAGCUUAGAAUCCAACUUGAAAUUGAAGAAUUACUUGAACAGUUUCUGUUCAUUUUAUAUUGCGAAGUUCAGAUUCGAUG
This is a non-coding RNA of Malus domestica (apple), 9686 nucleotides long. NCBI's taxonomy places the organism in Eukaryota, Viridiplantae, Streptophyta, Magnoliopsida, Rosales, Rosaceae. The record is from RefSeq and is a predicted model, not a curated record.